CGCGGAGCCGGGCCGCCGCACGGCCAGCGGGAUGGCGGUGGGGCCGGCCCGACCGGAGGAACCGGGAGGGGAUCCCCCCGCGUCCUCGCGGGAUGGAAGAAGUGUCCCAGGCCGGUUACCUGGGUUGCUGUUGAAACUGUCCUUCCCAGCAGUGUGUCCCGCCAGGCCCUGUACAGCCUCUGAGGUCUCCCCGACCCCGGCUCCCCUCAGGCCGCCCGGCCGUGCCCGCGGCAGCGUUUCCACCGCGAGAUCCGCAGCCUGGCCCCUACUUGAAGAUGCCCGAUUCCGCCCACCUCAAUCCUCUUUACUCGUCAUGCUUAUCUAAAGUCAGUGCUCCUCUGAAGGUGUUGAACGUCAGCCCUUCGUGACGUCUCUUUUGGGAAGCGUGGCAGCCUUCUCCCCACUUCAUUACACAGUUCAGUUCCCAGGCUGGGAACCCACAAAAUGCUUGUUGCCAACGUUCAGGUGCUGUGAACUGCAGGGCUGGAAAUACCUGGGACAGUGACUGUGGGGAUCUGCUACAGCAGGAUUUGGGGAAACAAACCAGCAAUCGGGAAAAAUGGUGCACUUCUAGGCCUCUUAUCAGCGGCACUACACGUUGUAUGGGUGAUUAUUUCCAGUGGCCAACUGAGCACUGAGCCUGACUGGUCCAAACACUGAAGAUACUACCAUAAAAUGUUCCUAACUGCAAUCAUUUUCAUAGCUAAAACCACUAAGUUUAUAUAACUGUUUUGCACUUUGAUGCAUUAAUAACAAUUUUUAAAUUUUAAAACUGUGUAUGUACAGUGCUUAGUACAUUGAAUCCUCAUCUUCAUUUAGUUCCCCAGGUUCUACUAUAAUACAACUCAUAAAAAAUGUGCUUUGUAAAGUCAAUAAGAACUUUAACUUGAACUCAGAAUUUUUUUCAUCAUUUGCAUCAACGCUAUACAUAUUAUUCAUAAUUUGAGCUGCAAAUUUCUAUGUGCAAUGUUCAUCUCUGACAUCUUUAUUCAGUGUUACAUUUCAGCAAAACUGUGUCAGCCAUUUUUAGGAAUAUAAUUAGGCAAAAAUCACAAGCUUGUUGAAUAGUAGGAGACAUCAGGGAAGAAGAAGUUGAAAAAUUGAAAAGUCCAGGUGAUAUUUUUUAAGGUUUUCUGGCUCUAAGGCCAAAAAUGGCUCACUAGUGUGAGACUGAAGAUGUGCUUUGAGUGGAGCAUCAGAUGACAACCCUGAUGGUGGGAGGGAUGCCCAGAUGCCUUAGCUUCUCUCUCCCAACUAGAACUGUUCUCCACUGGAGAAUAACUGGAGCAGAUAAAGCUGUCUUAAACUAACAUGCUGAAGAGUGGGAUGCUGAAUUAGGCAAAUGGAACAUUAGCUUCGAAAAGUUGCAAAGAAAAUUGAGAUAAUGUGAUAAGGAAAUGUUAAGACAGUAUUUCAGUUGUAAAGAAUUUAAAACCAAGUUCUUUUCUAGUAUGUAAUUACCAAGGAUUCUGAUAAUAGGAAUGUAUUAAAACAAAGCAUGUUUUAAAAUAAAAUUGAAACCAAAGUGAAAGCUUGAAUUAAAGUUAGGUUUUUUUCUUUCACCAGAACUGAGCCUGAGUUAUUACUUCGAAGUCUUCAUUGAACCCAAACUCAAGCUAAACAAAAAGGAAAAAUUCAAUAUUUACAGUAGCUCUUUAACAUGAGAAGUGUGCACUACUAUGACAAAUAUAUCAUAGGCAGAAGAAUAAGCAUAGGAUAUUCUUGGUGCAGACAGAGAGGGAGAGUGGUGUGAAUGUGCAAGGUGGGUGAGAAGAGGAAGAGGUUGGCUUGAGAAUUCCAGAAAGGAUGAGAUGGCUUGCAUCCUGAGAGAUGGCCAAGUUAGGGGAGGAAAAAGAUUCACUGCUCAUAUUUAUUGUCAUUUGAAAUCUACUGCUGCUGCUGCUGAAACUCUUCUGACCUUUCUCGUGUAUGAUUCCUAGACACUUUUCCCCUACCCAUAUUACCCCAAUAAACAUUGUAAGUCCAUUCAAGACUGUUUAGAUGUGUCAAAUCUGCUGCUGAGCCCAAAUUAGGAAAAUACCAGUAAUGGGUGAACGUGAACCAGAACUCAGUCGAAAUAUGACUAGUGCAAAUCUCUGUUUUUAAUACUGCCAAACACUGUUGACUUAGAAAUCAGAGUUCCAGACCAUAUCUUUCAGACGAGUGUAUUUCCUGGGGCACGGUGAUUCUGCAAAAGGUCUGAAGUUUGUGUUUGACCAGCAACUCUUCCUUGCUACUGCAGUCCUGAUGCUGAAAUGGUCAAUUAAGUGAUUUUUUAGUACUGGGGUGACAGUCAAUAAAUAGUAAGUCCACUUUGGGUUUCCAUGCUUGAAAGGAGAUACUGAAAAAUCAAGGAAAAAACUAUAGACAAUAGCUGUAAAAUUAUUUAAGAGAAGACUUGGGCAUAUGCUCAAAUAAGCAAUUAGUGAAACUGCAGGACAGUGUUAGGAGCAGAACAGAAAGUCUGUGAUUCUUUUUUUUCCAGGUAGAAAGACCUCCGUAGCUGGACUGCAGGCCACAGAACUUUUCAUGAAGCCUUGAAGAGGCAGUGCGUUACACAGGACCCAGCCUUAGUUGGUCUGCAAUGUGAAUGGUGUCCUGGGAAUUAGGGAUGUGUAGAGAGUUUUUACACAGCCUCCUCCUCCUUGUCUUAUUUAACAUAGAGAUUAGAAGUUGUUUGAUUGUUGGCAGAAGACUGUAAAGAGGAAGAAUAGUUAAAGAAGCUGAAUAAAUUUUGAAAACCUGGCUUUACUUCUUGCCACUAUCAAAAAUCACGUGUACUAAAAUAUUUUGUGUUCCUCACUUGAAAAAUUAGAAGAAAUUCUGUGCUCUCCUAGCUAAAAGCUAACUUUUUGCUGCUGUGUUUGUUUCUAAUAUACCAUAUGCUAAAAACAUGAAACAGCCUAAAAUAUUAGAACCUAUGCCUAUUAAUUUAACAUGUAAGAUUUAUGCUUUAUGCUCACUCUAUUUGUGCUUUAGGUCCCAUCUUUAAAAUAGAGUAACAGCUAUUCAAGUCAGAACUGUCAAAAUAAUUUCACUAAUGCUAUUGAAUCACUCACAUUCUCUGAUAAAAAUAGCAGAGACUAAUGAAUAAGAAGGAAAUAGUAGUUUUCUACUCUAUUGAGGGAUUAUGACAGAAAAUCCUAUGGUAAGAAAGUUUUAGGACACCAUUUGGAAUAAAAAGGUAUUUAUAAAAAUAAACAAUAGCCAGUGAAGCAAGACCCUUGCAGAAAAAAUAGUAUGCUACAAUACAGCUAGAGACAGCAUCAUGAUAUUUAGACAGAAGAAGAGGGAAAUGAAUUAAAAUCACAUCACAGAGUUGAUGCUGUCAUUUCUUGGUUUCUGAGUGUUUGAUCAUGUUUUUUAAUGUAGCUUGGGGGAGGGAUAAUUAUAAUUACACUUGUUUUUAUUGUUUGCCACAGUAUUGCUCAUGUACUGUCUAAAAUAGGAUCCCUUUGUGCUAUGCAUUGCUCAUGCACACACCAGGUGACAGCCGCUGCUCCAAAUAGCUCAGAGUCUAAACAUACAAAACAGAUCAGAGUGUAUGACACACGGUGCGAUAAAUGAAUUUGCAGAAAUUGCCAUGUAAAUAUUUUGACUCCCAUUGUUUUUUAAGAGAAGGAUGUCAUUAGCGAGGUGCUACCUUGAAUGAAAGGGCAAGGAAAGGGGAUUUACGCAAACUAGAGAAGGGAGACCAGGUAGAGCGGGAUCUGAAGAACAGAGUAAGAGGAGAAGUUGGAACAGGCAACCAAAAAGCCCAGGAAGGAGUCACUGUCAUACAUAAAGAACUUCACUUCAGAUAUGUAGGUUGGCAUAGUUUAAAAGCACAUCUUUGAAAUUCUUGAGAGCCUAGAGUUUAGCAACAAGACUGGCUGAAGAGGGUGACUCAAUUGCUUUUACCUGUUUCAUUUUACAUUUUACACAUGCUAUAGAAGAGUCUUUGACCAUUUUUAUACAUCUGUCCAGUGGAGCUUUGGCAGGGUAGUCAUUUGAAAGCGCUGAAGACCUGGCAGAGAGCAUGAAGUGUUGUAUUAUCUUUUGUAUGCUGAAACUGUUGAUACUAUCACAGCAUUACAGAGAACUAUAUUCUGUGAGGUUCAUGGAAAAACACUGUACUGGUAGCCACUGAGAAAUAAAAACACCUAGGUUCUUCUGAAAUCUGUAAACCUUUUCUCCCUUAUAAUAUGUUGGGAAAAAUAAAUCUUUCCUACAUGUUAUUUUGUAUUAUCAUCAGUUAUGGUGACUGUGUUCUUUACAUUCAUUUUGAAUCUGUGUUUCCUGUCAUGAGCAGAUUAAAAACAGAAGAGAGUGGAGUGAAA
Long non-coding RNA from Tyto alba (common barn owl), 4319 nucleotides. RefSeq lists it as uncharacterized. The record is from RefSeq and is a predicted model, not a curated record. The transcript is spliced from 2 exons. Lineage: Eukaryota; Metazoa; Chordata; Aves; Strigiformes; Tytonidae.